Molecule: ribosomal RNA, 490 nt
Filed under: uncultured bacterium
Lineage: Bacteria
Description: partial 16S ribosomal RNA
Rfam family: Bacterial small subunit ribosomal RNA
Source: RNAcentral
GAUGAACGCUAGCGAUAGGCUUAACACAUGCAAGUCGAGGGGCAGCAUGGUCUUAGCUUGCUAAGGCUGAUGGCGACCGGCGCACGGGUGCGUAACGCGUAUGCAACUUGCCUCACAGAGGGGGAUAACCCGUCGAAAGACGGACUAAUACCGCGUACACUCUAUGUUGGGCAUCCAAUGUAGAGGAAAUGAAAUUCGCUGUGAGAUAGGCAUGCGUCCCAUUAGCUAGUUGGUGAGGUAACGGCUCACCAAGGCGACGAUGGGUAGGGGAACUGAGAGGUUGAACCCCCACACUGGUACUGAGACACGGACCAGACUCCUACGGGAGGCAGCAGUGAGGAAGAUUGAUCAAUGGGCGAGAGCCUGAACCAGCCAAGUCGCGUGAAGGAUGACUGUCUUAUGGAUUGUAAACUUCUUUUAUACGGGAAUAACAAGAGUCACGUGUGGCUCCCUGCAUGUACCGUAUGAAUAAGCAUCGGCUAACUCCGUG